RNAcentral lists this ribosomal RNA (253 nucleotides) under uncultured bacterium. RNAcentral's name for it is "partial 16S ribosomal RNA". It matches the Rfam family "Bacterial small subunit ribosomal RNA", at positions 524 to 776 of the family's 1533-position model. The record is from RNAcentral.
UACGGAGGGGGCGAGCGUUAUUCGGAAUUAUUGGGCGUAAAGGGCUCGUAGGCGGUCUGUCGCGUCGGGAGUGAAAACUUACAGCUUAACUGUGAGCGUGCUUCCGAUACGGGCAGACUUGAGGUAUUCAGGGGAGAACGGAAUUCCUGGUGUAGCGGUGAAAUGCGCAGAUAUCAGGAGGAACACCGGUGGCGAAGGCGGUUCUCUGGGAAUAUCCUGACGCUGAGGAGCGAAAGUGUGGGGAGCGAACAGG